AUUGAACGCUGGCGGCAGGCCUAACACAUGCAAGUCGAACGGGUGGCGGACGUGUGUGUAAUUUCUGUGAAUCUGCCUCAUAUAGGGGGAUAACUGCUGGAAACGGUGGCUAAUACCGCUUUCCAGCAGAGGUGCCCAGCUGGGAUUAGCUAGUUGGUGGGGUAACGGCUCACCAAGGCGACGAUCCCUGGCUGGUCUGAGAGGAUGACCAGCCACAGUGGAACUGAGACACGGACCAGAUUCCUACGGGAGGCAGCAGUGGGGAAUAUUGCAUAAUGGGCGCAAGCCUGAUGCAGCCAUGCCGCGUGUAUGAAGAAGGCCUGCGGGUUGUAAAGUACUUUCAGCGGGGAGGCGUUACCCUCAGAAGAAGCACCGGCUAACUCCGUGCCAGCCGCCGCGGUAAUAC
This 406-nucleotide ribosomal RNA is filed under the name uncultured bacterium. Its description in RNAcentral is "partial 16S ribosomal RNA". It matches the Rfam family "Bacterial small subunit ribosomal RNA", at positions 30 to 526 of the family's 1533-position model. The record is from RNAcentral.